RNAcentral lists this ribosomal RNA (458 nucleotides) under uncultured bacterium. RNAcentral describes it as "SSU rRNA". It matches the Rfam family "Bacterial small subunit ribosomal RNA", at positions 26 to 518 of the family's 1533-position model. The record is from RNAcentral.
AGAAUCAACGCUGGCGGCGUGCCUAACACAUGCAAGUCGAACGAGAAAGUGGAGCAAUCCAUGAGUACAGUGGCGACCGGGUGAGUAACACGUGACUACCUACCCUUGAGUGGGGGAUAACCUCGGGAAACCGAGGCUAAUACCGCAUAAUAUCGAGAGAUCAAAGGAGUAAUCCGCUUUUGGAGGGGGUCGCGGCUGAUUAGCUAGUUGGUAGGGUAAUGGCCUACAAAGGCGAAGAUCGGUAUCCGGCCUGAGAGGGCGCACGGACACACUGGAACUGAAACACGGUCCAGACUCCUACGGGAGGCAGCAGUGGGAAUUUUGCGCAAUGGGGGAAACCCUGACGCAGCAACGCCGCGUGGAGGAUGAAGCCCCUUGGGGUGUAAACUCCUUUCGACCGGGAAAAUAAUGAUGGUACCGGUGGAAGAAGCACCGGCUAACUCUGCGCCAGCAGCCGC